Long non-coding RNA from Anarrhichthys ocellatus (wolf-eel), 1410 nucleotides. RefSeq lists it as uncharacterized. The transcript has 4 exons. Lineage: Eukaryota; Metazoa; Chordata; Actinopteri; Perciformes; Anarhichadidae. The record is from RefSeq and is a predicted model, not a curated record.
UCUCAAAUCUCUGCAGCCAUUGCUUAACUCAUUUGACUAUCGGUCGAUCGGAAAGGAGACAUUAAGUCCAGUAAUUGCCCCCAUCCGCGCUUUGAAUCCAAAUUGUGAGUUAUGGUCGACGUCAGGGAGAAAAAAAAAGCCCUGAGGGCGAAGCUGCUUCUGCUGCUGCGUACGGCCCGAUGUGCUGUCUGGAUGUCGUGAAAUGGCCAGUUAGAAAGUGUGAGAGAGACAAUGAUCGGCUCUGCAUGACGCCGCUGGGAGCCCCAAAUCUCAGCUGUGGACCCCCCCACCCCUUUUUUUUUCCAAUAGUUGUUCUCUCUGGGAGAUAGGACUCCUCAGAUUACGGUCGAAAAACAUUGUCAUCUGAUCAGGAAAAUCCAUCACACCAGGGAGUGCAAAGACCUACAGCAUGGCUAUCUGACUGAAAAAGCAGAGUGACCAGUCCAGUGCUCUUACUGUCUGCCAGGGUAUAUGCUGUUGAAGCUCUACAAGCAAGUCCAGGGGGUGGAGACCGACCUCAUUAGUCUCAAAAAAGGAUGACACGCGAGUAAACUCGUUUUCUCCGACUCCCCUCAUAGAUGUAGAGCUUUUGACCAUGAUGACACCUGAGCUCCAUGCGCUGAAGAAGACCUGGACUCAUCGAGAAGCCAAGUAAGUGAAAGUUGAGUUGUCUUUUACCACAGAUAUGCUUUUUUUAAGAUUAAAAAAUAAAGCAUAAUUCUUCAAGCAUUUUAAGGGGUUUCUGAAAAAAAUGCAUGAUUCUAAAUCAUAAAGUCAUGAAAUUGGGAUUUAAGAAUCUCUGCUGCUAAAGACAAUUGUGAUUUUGUCCAAUCCAGUGUAACUUGAUAUUCAUACACUGAAAGUGAAAUAAUAACUUUAUAAAAGCCAGUAAAAGUACGGGAGUGGAAGGAGAGACAUUGUUUUAGGGAAGAUGAUGAGAUCGACAGGAAAUUAUGCUGGAAACGUUAAAGUCUCAAAUUAAGUUCAACAUUUCUUCUCUUAAGCCAACACAGCACCCAGCUCUUAGACUCCGGGUUCAGUGAACCUGUUCUUAUAUCUUUCUUGCAAAGCAUUUUCAAUUAACCUACAUGCAUGCAGAUAUAAAUGUAGACCAGUGAUGUGAUAAAAGAGACACAGCUGCAAAAGAUCACAAAAAACGUUGCUUUCACUGUGAAAUUUACUCACAAAAAUGAUACGGUCCGUUCUAUCCUGAACUCCUCACUGAGUAAGAAAAGGGGUCAGCCAUUUGCCUGGAAUUCAUCAAGCUAACGUAUUGUGUUAGGCGCUGGUGUAACUGGUUGGGUGACACAGACAAAAUAGCACAAAUCUCUAUUCAAACCAGACAUUAACUGCUUCGUACAACGUCUUUUUAAAAAAACUGCCUGCUCUCUCAGCUUGUGUCAGUCUCAU